AAAAACCAUAUACCUCCUAAUUGCCUUGGCUGGUUACAACAUCAGUUCUGCUCUCUUUCUGUGAGCAAGAACCUUUCACAUGGCCUCAUCUAGACUCCAGGGGGCAGGGUACAGAACAGUCCCCAGAUAAGUGGUCACUCCCAACCACACCUGUAUAUCACAGGAGGAGGAACUAGCAGACUUUGAUGAGGAAUUAGUUCUAAUGGUUGAUAACAGAGUAGCGUGACUAUAGUUAAUAACAAUGUAUUGUAUAUUUCAAAAUACCUAGUAGACAGGACUUAAAAUGUUCCCAACAAUUAAAAAUGAUAAGUUCUCAGGUGAUGGACAUCCUACAUAAACUGACUUGAUCAUUACACAGUCUACUCUUACAACAAAAUAUCACAUGUACCCCCCAAAAUAUGUACAAAUAUUAUGCAUCAAUAAAAAGAUUACCCAAAAAUGUUUAAGGAAUUUCUAUCUCUUCCUCUCUAGGGAAUUUCAGAUACCCAGGAAUACACCUGCCAGUUAUACACCUGUCACAACAAAUGAGAUAUUGCUCUGAAAUAUGAUAAUGUUUACUCCCUAGAGAAAAUGUAUUGUGUCCUCAUCAUAGAAAACACCUAGAUUAUGUUGUCUCAAAAACAAUCUCAUGAAAAAAAAAUAAUAAUCCCAUCAGAUCAACUGACCACUGAUCUAUGCAGAAUAAUAUAUGCUAUGUUUUUUUAUUUUUUUUUCUUCCCUCUUAGCUGAACAGCCACGGCUGCGUCUCUCAGCAAGUAAACACCAAGGUCUUCCAGAUGAAGAGGGAAGGGUAUCAAAUGAAACUGGACAUGGAGGCCAAUAUCAAAGAAGAAGGAACAGGAGUGGAAUUAACUGGAAGAGGAUCCACUGAAAUCACGAGAGCCAUAACCAAACUCUCAUUUGUGAAAGUGAACCCUUACUUUAGAAGAGGGAUCCCUUUCUUUGGACAGGUGCGCCUAGUGGAUGGGAAAGGUGUCCCUAUGCCAAAUAAAACCAUCUUCAUCACAGCACAUGGAUCUGUCUAUAAAUCCAAUGCUACCACAGAUGAGAAUGGCCUGGCACCAUUCUCCAUCAACACCACCAGUGUUAUGGGCAUCUCUCUUACUGUACAUGUAAGUUAGAAACAAGUUACCAAUGGCAUGAAGUAGCCUUGAAAACAUGGUUGCAACUUAAAAAGUGAUGAAAUUUCCAAAUUUUGUUUAGUCCUACGGAGAGAGAGAAAACUAGCAAUUAGAAACCAAUUUAAUAUCAACUUUUUAUGAGUUUAUGAAAGAGAGGCA
This 1280-nucleotide long non-coding RNA is filed under the name Microcebus murinus (gray mouse lemur). RNAcentral describes it as "lncRNA (ENSMICG00000048566.1)". The record is from RNAcentral. Lineage: Eukaryota; Metazoa; Chordata; Mammalia; Primates; Cheirogaleidae.